AGAGUUUGAUCCUGGCUCAGAUUGAACGCUGGCGGCAUGCUUUACACAUGCAAGUCGAACGGCAGCGCGGGGCAACCUGGCGGCGAGUGGCAAACGGGUGAGUAAUAUAUCGGAACGUACCCAGAAGUGGGGGAUAACGUAGCGAAAGUUACGCUAAUACCGCAUACGAUCUACGGAUGAAAGUGGGGGACCUUCGGGCCUCAUGCUUGUGGAGCAGCCGAUAUCUGAUUAGCUAGUUGGUAGGGUAAAGGCCUACCAAGGCAACGAUCAGUAGCUGGUCUGAGAGGACGACCAGCCACACUGGGACUGAGACACGGCCCAGACUCCUACGGGAGGCAGCAGUGGGGAAUUUUGGACAAUGGGCGCGAGCCUGAUCCAGCAAUGCCGCGUGAGUGAAGAAGGCCUUCGGGUUGUAAAGCUCUUUUGUCAGGGAAGAAACGGUUCGAGCUAAUAUCUGGGCUAAUGACG
This 468-nucleotide ribosomal RNA is filed under the name uncultured Oxalobacteraceae bacterium. RNAcentral describes it as "bacterial SSU rRNA". It matches the Rfam family "Bacterial small subunit ribosomal RNA", at positions 8 to 474 of the family's 1533-position model. Lineage: Bacteria; Pseudomonadati; Pseudomonadota; Betaproteobacteria; Burkholderiales; Oxalobacteraceae. The record is from RNAcentral.